AGUUUGCAGCUGGCAGGCAGGCAGUAGCAUUGCCUGGCUGCAAGGCUCCAUGCAACAUCCUGGAGGCAUUCAAGGAAAAACAAUUUAAAUGGGAGAGGUUACAGACUUAAACAGACUGAUCAACCUUGACAUAAGUAGUGCCUUUGCCAGUGUGUCCAUUGCUUUUAGUAGGAGUACUGGAUUUCCUGGCUGUCAUUUCUCAUGUGUACUAGAAGGGACAAGCUAACGGUCCUCAGGACUGUCAAAUUCAGUCACCAAGCACAGAAGAUCUUACUUUUCUGAAAGACUACAUCUCCUUUUCCUGAAACUAUAAUUCCACAUCUCUGUUGAAGGAGUUCUGAAUGUGCAAGGAAUUUUUUUUAAUUAUGUUCUUCUUGCACUCUAUGAAAUGUCCUGGCUUCCUUUAAAUUGUGGAACAUAACUGCUGGAAAAUGGCCCAGUAACCUGUUAAGAGGCACUAUUUUUUGCAGAAGACCAUAUGUCAUGGAAUAAAUGAAUUGUGUUUAUUUCUAAAAUCUAUUUGCCUCAAGAAAUGUCCUAUUUAAAGUUAACCUUUCAAUUUUUUUAAGGUAAGAAAUGAAAAAUAGUGGAGUUUUACCUGUAGAAAUAAGCAGUAGU
Alligator mississippiensis (American alligator) is the source of this 618-nucleotide long non-coding RNA. RefSeq lists it as uncharacterized. The transcript has 4 exons. NCBI's taxonomy places the organism in Eukaryota, Metazoa, Chordata, Crocodylia, Alligatoridae. The record is from RefSeq and is a predicted model, not a curated record.